AUUGAACGCUGGCGGCAUGCCUUACACAUGCAAGUCGAACGGUAACAGGUCUUCGGAUGCUGACGAGUGGCGAACGGGUGAGUAAUACAUCGGAACGUGCCUAGUAGUGGUGGAUAACUACUCGAAAGAGAGGCUAAUACCGCAUGAGAUCUACGGAUGAAAGCAGGGGAUCGCAGGACCUUGUGCUACUAGAGCGGCCGAUGGCAGAUUAGGUAGUUGGUGGGAUAAAAGCUUACCAAGCCGACGAUCUGUAGCUGGUCUGAGAGGACGAUCAGCAACACUGGAACUGGGAAACGGCCCAGACUCCUACGGGAGGCAGCAGUGGGGAAUUUUGGACAAUGGGCGAAAGCCUGAUUCAGCAAUGCCGCGUGCAGGAUGAAGGCCUUCGGGUUGUAAACUGCUUUUGUACGGAACGAAAAGCCCCGGGUUAAUACCCUGGGGUCAUGACGGUACCGUAAGAGUAAGCACCGGCUAACUACGUGCCAGCAGCCGCCGUAA
RNAcentral lists this ribosomal RNA (498 nucleotides) under uncultured bacterium. RNAcentral describes it as "partial 16S ribosomal RNA". It matches the Rfam family "Bacterial small subunit ribosomal RNA", at positions 30 to 523 of the family's 1533-position model. The record is from RNAcentral.